ACUGCUCAGUAACACGUAGUCAACAUGCCCAGGGGACGUGGAUAACCUCGGGAAACUGAGGAUAAACCGCGAUAGGUCAUAAUGUCUGGAAUGAUUUAUGGCUAAAAUCUACAUGGCCCCUGGAUUGGACUGCGGCCGAUCAGGCUGUUGGUGAGGUAAUGGCCCACCAAACCUAAAACCGGUACGGGCUCUGAGAGGAGAAGCCCGGAGAUGGGCACUGAGACAAGGGCCCAGGCCCUAUGGGGCGCAGCAGGCGCGAAAACUCUGCAAUAAGCGAAAGCUUGACAGGGUUAUUCUGAGUGAUUUCCGCUAAGGAGAUCUUUUGGCACCUCUAAAAAUGGUGCAGAAUAAGGGGUGGGCAAGCCUGGUGUCAGCCGCCGCGGUAAUACCAGCACCCCGAGUGGUCGGGACGAUUAUUGGGCCUAAAGCAUCCGUAGCCGGUUCUACAAGUCUUCCGUUAAAUCCACCUGCUUAACAGUUGGGCUGCAGAGGAUACUAUAGAGCUAGGAGGCGGGAGAGGCAAGCGGUACUUAGUGGGUAGGGGUAAAAUCCGUUGAUCCACUGAAGACCACCAGUGGCGAAGGCGGCUUGCCAGAACGCGCUCGACGGUGAGGGAUGAAAGCUGGGGGAGCAAACCGGAUUAGAUACCCGGGUAGUCCCAGCUGUAAACGAUGCAGACUCGGUGAUGAAUAGGCUUCGUGCCUAUUCAGUGCCGCAGGGAAGCCGUUAAGUCUGCCGCCUGGGGAGUACGGUCGCAAGACUGAAACUUAAAGGAAUUGGCGGGGGAG
RNAcentral lists this ribosomal RNA (788 nucleotides) under uncultured archaeon. RNAcentral's name for it is "bacterial SSU rRNA". It matches the Rfam family "Archaeal small subunit ribosomal RNA", at positions 85 to 876 of the family's 1478-position model. The record is from RNAcentral.